CUUGAGAAUAAGUCAUUUCCCAAACAUACUAGGACACACUUUGGAAAGANNNNNNNNNNNNNNNNNNNNNNNNNNNNNNNNNNNNNNGAGUUCUUUUACAGGAAAACUUCGGGUAAAAGAGAUGGAAGCCUGGGUCCAAAGUGACAAAGGAAGCACAAAUGUGUUAAUGAUGCAGAAAAGUCACCGCCUGGGCUUUGAAUGCUGCUGACACAUCAAAGGGCCCUGUUUGCCACAAAGAAGAAGAUCAUUUCUGGAGAGGGACAAAACCUUUGGGAGAAUGCUGCUGAAGCCCUUGAUUCACUGGUUAAUUAUGCAGACCAGCCCUCUGUUCUGCUGCCCCAGAGGUCAUGAAUUUGAACAUGCUUCAUGCCACCUUCAGAACAAACAGGCAAAACAACCCCAAACCAGGCUGUCUUUGGGGACUUUGUCAAGAAAGCCACUUUUUGGGCAACAUCAGCAUAUGCAAUACAAAUAUUCUCAUCAAAUAUUCACUUAUUUAAGCCAUUAAAUGAGAGGAAAAUUCUUCAGUAAAUAAGUACUUAAGAUAGCUGUCUUAUUUCACCAGUAGGCUAUAGAAUACCCAAAGCCUACAUUAAACUGUAUGUUAAGAUAGUUGAGAGAAAACUAGAAUUAGUUUUCUAUGUUUUAAAUAAUUCUAUGAUAGAACACAAGAAGACUAUUAACCAAAAUGUUAUGUCUUUGCUUGGAGGAAAUUUGUUAUUUUUAAUUCUGCUUUUUUAUACAUUCCAAAUUUAUUACAGUAAACAUAGACUACUUAUCUAGUGAAAGAAUAUAAAUAUUUUUCUUAUUGUGACAGAACACCCUAUAUGCCAGCAACAUUUUCUAGAAAAAUACUCAACUUCUCAAAAUGACUCAUUCUCUGAGGUUAGGUAGCCAAGGCUUGAUUGUAAUUUAGCAUGAAAUAGAAAGAGAAACUCAAGAGACUACACAGGUAAGAGAGUUUCACUGAGCUCAUUUAAUUUUCCAUUAGUAAUGGAAUUUUUAAUCACCUAAGUCACCGGUUUGCAUGUCUGUUUUCACUAAGGAUACAGGCAGGUGGGAGAUGUGCAGUUAUUUUAUAAUUAUUUAUUUGUAUGUGUUGAGAAAAAGCCCUCAGAAAUUUUAGCAGAAACUGGUUGGUCAGACUUAAGAGGAGUUAUCAAUAUCCUUCUUCAUUAAAAAAAAAAAAAAAAAAAAAAGCUGAAUUGGCAACUUCACAAAUUUAUUCACUGUUAGAAAUAGUUUUUCUAGUCCAAUUCUCAAACCCACACCUGGCCUCCCUCCUUUUAGCAGGAGAUUUGCCAUUUUUUAUUUACAGAGUGAGUUAUUUGAACGCUCUCAAAUUUCCACCUUCUCAGUUCCAGUUUUUUUUAUUUUUUUGUUUUUUGUUUUUGUCUUUUUGUCUUUUUAGGGCCGCAGGUGCAGCAUAUGGAGGUUCCCAGGCUAGGGGUCUAAUCAGAGUUAUAGCUGCUGGCCUAUACCAGAGCCACAGCAAGGCCAGAUCCAAGCCGUGUCUUCGACCUACGCCACAGCUCAUGGCAACGCCAAUUCCUUAACCCACUGAGUGAGUGAGGCUAGGGAUCGAACCCAAAACCUCAUGGUUCCUAGUCAGGUUCCUUUCCACUGCGCCACAACGGGAACUCCCUCAGUUCCAGUUUUUAGGUCUCUUGGCUCUUUUUCUUUCCUGUUCUAGAGGAAAGAUGCUUCCCCAGCCUUCUCACCAGAGUUUGCAGACACCUCCUCUGCCCUCUCUUCAGAAACUUCUAUUCAGUGGACAUCCUAUUGCUUGGAUUUCAAUCUUUCCAUCUUUACUGACACUGAAUUAUUAUUGAAUGAUAUACUGAAUUAUUUUUCAGUUGAAAAGCAAGCCAAAACAUAACCAUAAAAAAUAAAACCUGGAGUUCCCAUCAUGGCACAGUGGUUAACGAGUCCGACUAGGAAACAUGAGGUUGCGGGUUCGGUCCCUGCCCUUGCUCAGUGGGUUGACAAUCAGGCAUUGCUGUGAGCUGUGGUGUAGGUUGCAGACGCAGCUCGGAUCCCACGUUGCUGUAGCUCACCCCUAGCCUGGGAAUCUCCAUGUGCAGCGGGAGCGGCCCAAGAGAUGGCAAAAAGACAAAGAAAAAUAGAAAGAAAGAAAGAAAACCCCAAAAUACAAAGUUCAAUAAAUUCAAAUAGAAAUAUGAAAUCCACAAAGAAAACCCCAAAAUACAAAGUUCAAUAAAUUCAAAUAGAAAUAUUUUUUAAAAUAUUAAUGUAAAACAAAGUAUAAACAAAGACUAAUAACAAACAAUAGUUAUUUGCAAAGUAUAUGAUUACCAGAGGAUAAAAUCCUCAUCAUUAUAUAACAUAACCAUAAUAUAUAAUCAAUAAUUUUUACAAAUCAGUAAGAACUGAGAAUACAUUUUACAUCACAUAUUUAAAUGCUGAAAUCUGAUUAUUUCAUAAAUCAUAUAGAAUUUAUGUCGUAUCUGUUGAUAUAUAUUCAUUAUUUAAGUAAUACUUUACUAUAGCUUAAGGCCAAGAGUUGUGGCUAUAGACAUUGACAGAUUAGUAGUUCGUUUUGAUUAUAAGAACUCUUGUCCUCCAACAACAAAUGAAGAACUUUUCUUAAUACGUGGUUUAGAGAUUGGCAAACCAUGAGCCUAUGGGCCAAAUUUAACCCACCACCCAUUUCUGUAAAGAAAGUUACUGAAAGAUAGGCAUGCCCAUUUAUUUACACACUGCCUAUAGCUGCUUUCAUGCUAUAGGGGCAAAACUGAGUAGUUGCAAUGGAGUUGUAUGGCCUGCAAAAUCUGAAAUAUUUACUCUCUGGCCCUUCACUGAAAAAAAGGUUUCCAACUGCUUGUUUAGAAUAUUUAGCUUAUUUAAAUCACAGAAAUAUUGGAGUUCCCUUUAUGGCACACCGGAAAUGAAUCCGACUAGUAACCAUGAGGUGGCAGGUUUGAUCCCUGGCCUUGCUCAGUGGACUGAGGAUCCAGCAUUGCCAUAAGCUGUGGUGCAGAUCACAGAUGUGGCUUGGAUCCCAUGCUGCUGUGGUGUAGGCUGGCAGCUGUAGGUCCAAUUCAACCCCUAGCCUGGGAACCUCACGUGCUGUGAGUGUGGCCUUAAAGAGAAAAAAAAAAAAAAAAAAAUCACAGAAAUAUUUGAUCCAUUUUCCAGGAUCAUUCCUUUUUAAUUCCAUACAAUUAUAUCCUACAAGGCAUAAGGAUUUGUUGUUGCUGUUUGGUUUUUUGGUGGGACCAGGGAUUGAACCCGUGCCACAGCAGUGACCUUAGCCACAGGAGUAAUAAUGCCAGAUCCUUAUCCUUAUCCUUCCCUUAGGUCACCAGGGAAGUCCAGUAAGUUUUUUUUUUCUUUUUUUUAAGAACAUAAAUUCCUAAAUAGAAAGGAUUAGGUUUUUAUACUUUAGGUGUAAUAUGUUCACAUUACAAUAAUUGAAUAAUAGAACAGUAAUCUUUCAAAAACAUAAGUUUUAAAACUGUUAAAGAAAAACUUCAGAAGAGUUACAAACAUCCAUGCAGAACUGAAUACAAUAAUCAUGAAAUUAUUUAAAUAGACUGAAUUCUGUAGUUUUGAGUGUUAUCUUGCUAAGGCACUACCAUAGAUCCUUUUCUGACAGUAUAACUGUCAGUAAAACAGAAA
This 3642-nucleotide long non-coding RNA is filed under the name Sus scrofa (pig). Its description in RNAcentral is "lncRNA (ENSSSCG00005026488.1)". The record is from RNAcentral. Lineage: Eukaryota; Metazoa; Chordata; Mammalia; Artiodactyla; Suidae.